Molecule: ribosomal RNA, 1411 nt
Filed under: metagenome
Description: bacterial LSU rRNA
Rfam family: Bacterial large subunit ribosomal RNA
Source: RNAcentral
UCAAAUCCGGAAAAUCAAGGCUGAGGCGUGAUGACGAGGCACUACGGUGCUGAAGCAACAAAUGCCCUGCUUCCAGGAAAAGCCUCUAAGCAUCAGGUAACAUCAAAUCGUACCCCAAACCGACACAGGUGUCAGGUAGAGAAUACCAAGGCGCUUGAGAGAACUCGGGUGAAGGAACUAGGCAAAAUGGUGCCGUAACUUCGGGAGAAGGCACGCUGAUAUGUAGGUGAGGUCCCUCGCGGAUGGAGCUGAAAUCAGUCGAAGAUACCAGCUGGCUGCAACUGUUUAUUAAAAACACAGCACUGUGCAAACACGAAAGUGAUCGUAUACGGUGUGACGCCUGCCCGGUGCCGGAAGGUUAAUUGAUGGGGUUAGCGCAAGCGAAGCUCUUGAUCGAAGCCCCGGUAAACGGCGGCCGUAACCAUAACGGUCCUAAGGUAGCGAAAUUCCUUGUCGGGUAAGUUCCGACCUGCACGAAUGGCGUAAUGAUGGCCAGGCUGUCUCCACCCGAGACUCAGUGGAAUUGAACUCGCUGUGAAGAUGCAGUGUACCCGCGGCAAGACGGAAAGACCCCGUGAACCUUUACUAUAGCUUGACACUGAACAUUGAGCCUUGAUGUGUAGGAUAGGUGGGAGGCUUUGAAGUGUGGACGCCAGUCUGCAUGGAGCCGACCUUGAAAUACCACCCUUUAAUGUUUGAUGUUCUAACGUUGACCCGUAAUCCGGGUUGCGGACAGUGUCUGGUGGGUAGUUUGACUGGGGCGGUCUCCUCCUAAAGAGUAACGGAGGAGCACGAAGGUUGGCUAAUCCUGGUCGGACAUCAGGAGGUUAGUGCAAUGGCAUAAGCCAGCUUGACUGCGAGCGUGACGGCGCGAGCAGGUGCGAAAGCAGGUCAUAGUGAUCCGGUGGUUCUGAAUGGAAGGGCCAUCGCUCAACGGAUAAAAGGUACUCCGGGGAUAACAGGCUGAUACCGCCCAAGAGUUCAUAUCGACGGCGGUGUUUGGCACCUCGAUGUCGGCUCAUCACAUCCUGGGGCUGAAGUAGGUCCCAAGGGUAUGGCUGUUCGCCAUUUAAAGUGGUACGCGAGCUGGGUUUAGAACGUCGUGAGACAGUUCGGUCCCUAUCUGCCGUGGGCGCUGGAGAACUGAGGGGGGCUGCUCCUAGUACGAGAGGACCGGAGUGGACGCAUCACUGGUGUUCGGGUUGUCAUGCCAAUGGCACUGCCCGGUAGCUAAAUGCGGAAGAGAUAAGUGCUGAAAGCAUCUAAGCACGAAACUUGCCCCGAGAUGAGUUCUCCCUGACCCUUUAAGGGUCCUGAAGGAACGUUGAAGACGACGACGUUGAUAGGCCGGGUGUGUAAGCGCAGCGAUGCGUUGAGCUAACCGGUACUAAUGAACCGUGAGGCUUAACCC